AACGGCCGCGGUAUCUUGACCGUGCAAAGGUAGCAUAAUCAUUAGUCCUUUAAUAUGGGGCUGGCAUGAAGGGUUUAACGAGGAACUAGCUGUCUCAAUUUGAUUUAUUAAAAGUUAGCUUUUUAGUUAAAAGGCUAAAAUUUUGUUGGAAGACGAGAAGACCCUAUAGAGCUUUACAUUUACAUUUUGUAGGAUUAAUUUUGUUUUAUUUAUUUACUUCUUUANUUUAGGUGUUUUGUUGGGGUGACAUUAAAUAUAUAUUUAACUUUUAUUGUUUNUAGAACCAUUUAUUUAUGANAUAUUUGAUCCAUUCUUAAUGAUCUUUAGAAUAAGUUACCUUA
This 341-nucleotide ribosomal RNA is filed under the name Polythore spaeteri. Its description in RNAcentral is "partial 16S ribosomal RNA". The stretch from base 1 to 139 matches the Rfam family "Archaeal large subunit ribosomal RNA", at positions 2003 to 2143 of the family's 2987-position model. The record is from RNAcentral. Lineage: Eukaryota; Metazoa; Arthropoda; Insecta; Odonata; Polythoridae.